RNAcentral lists this long non-coding RNA (1212 nucleotides) under Mytilus galloprovincialis (Mediterranean mussel). The record is from RNAcentral. Lineage: Eukaryota; Metazoa; Mollusca; Bivalvia; Mytilida; Mytilidae.
CUCAAUUGUUUGUAAAACAAUUGAAAGGUCUUUCCUGUAAAAGUGAUGUUUUCGUAAUGUACUUUGUACGACCUUUCGUUUGAUAUACGACAAGCAUACCUUCUGAAACUUUCGCUUUUUACACUUAAUGACCUCAUCCGCCUACAUUUUCGAGAUCGGAAGUAUGAUAUAUGUAACAUAGACAAUAAUGAGCUUUCAUUUGAUAUGCGACAACGCCAUGUUCUAGAAAGUUUGAUUUUUGCACUUAAUAACCCAUCCAACUAAUUUUUGGAGGUCAGGAAUUUGAUAUUUCAAAUGUACACAUCAUGGCCUUUCAUUUGAUAUACAACAACCCUAUCUAAAAAGAAAAUUUAUUUUUUGCACUCAAUGACCCCAUCCAACCAAUUUUUUGGGGACGUCAAUUUGAAAUUUGAAAUGUACGCUUUAUGUUCUUUCAUUUGAUAUGCGACAACCUUACCAUCUGACAAAUUUGAAUUUUUGCACUAAAUGACCCCACCCUUCCCCCUGGGAUGAAAAUGGGUUUAAAAAUUUUCAUUUUUAAGUAGAGUUUAUUAAGACCUUCAAUUUGAUAUAUCAGAUGACCCCAUUUGACAAAGUGCCAAAAAUGAUGCAAUAUCAACUAUAUAAAUAGAAGUUAUGAAACUUACAAAGUCAAUGCAAAACAUGAAAAUUUCAAAUUGAUUUUUUGGUGUUUUUUUCCAUGGAAUGUUUUUGGUAUUUGGUCAAACAUAUAACUAUGUUAACCUCUUCAAUUUAAUAAACAUUUUAAGUGGUAAGCUCUUGUUGAUUCAGAAAUACAUGCCUCCGCUCACAAAAUUUCAAACUGCAUUAUCUCUAAAACGACAAUAGAUAUCUCAAAUCUGUUAAAUGAUAAAUGAUCUACAGUUGAAGGACAACAUUAUAGAAAAAGAAUUGGGACAAUUUCAAAGUUCACCAAGGUCACAAUUAAUCAUCAAAUAUAUGAUGCAAUACAAAACUUGAGAACCGGAAGUCGUAGAGACAUGGGACUAUCACCAUUCAACUCAGGACCACUUGACCUUUCAAAUAUCACAAGGUCAAGGUCAUAGUAUACUGUGAAGGUCAAGGUGAAAUUUCAUCAUGACCUGACAUUGACCUCAAAUUGAAGGUCUUGAAUUACUGAUCAUCUUUGCAGUUUAUAGUAGGUUGAUAUCUGUUACCUUUAAAAAGAUAUACACAAAAUACUAUACUUUU